GACGAACGCUGGCGGCGUGCCUAAUACAUGCAAGUUGAGCGAUGAAGAUUGGUGCUUGCACCAAUUUGAAGAGCAGCGAACGGGUGAGUAACGCGUGGGGAAUCUGCCUUUGAGCGGGGGACAACAUUUGGAAACGAAUGCUAAUACCGCAUAACAACUUUAAACAUAAGUUUUAAGUUUGAAAGAUGCAAUUGCAUCACUCAAAGAUGAUCCCGCGUUGUAUUAGCUAGUUGGUGAGGUAAAGGCUCACCAAGGCGAUGAUACAUAGCCGACCUGAGAGGGUGAUCGGCCACAUUGGGACUGAGACACGGCCCAAACUCCUACGGGAGGCAGCAGUAGGGAAUCUUCGGCAAUGGACGAAAGUCUGACCAAGCAACGCCGCGUGAGUGAAGAAGGUUUUCGGAUCGUAAAACUCGGUUGGUAGAGAAGAACGUUGGUGAGAGUGGAAAGCUCAUCAAGUGACGGUAACUACCCAGAAAGGGACGGCUAACUACGUG
RNAcentral lists this ribosomal RNA (497 nucleotides) under uncultured bacterium. RNAcentral describes it as "partial 16S ribosomal RNA". It matches the Rfam family "Bacterial small subunit ribosomal RNA", at positions 28 to 507 of the family's 1533-position model. The record is from RNAcentral.